UGAGUACGAGAUGCUACGGCAUCGAAGCAGUCUAUGUCAUACUUCCAAGAAAAGCUUGCACUGUCAGAAACAGAUAAUGCCUGUACCAUAACCGACACAGGUGGGUAGGUAGAGUAUACUAAGGGGCGCGAGAUAACUCUCUCUAAGGAACUCGGCAAAAUGACUCCGUAACUUCGGGAGAAGGAGUGCCUUAUUUUUAAGGUUGCAAUAACAAGAUCCAAGCAACUGUUUACCAAAAACACAGGUCUCCGCUAAGUCGUAAGACGAUGUAUGGGGGCUGACGCCUGCCCAGUGCCAGAAGGUUAAAGAAGUCGGUUAGCAUUCGCGAAGCUGGUAACUGAAGCCCUGGUGAACGGCGGCCGUAACAAUAACAGUCCUAAGGUAGCGAAAUUCCUUGUCGGGUAAGUUCCGACCCGCACGAAAGGCGUAAUGAUUUGGAUACUGUCUCGGAGAGGGGCUCGGUGAAAUAGACUUGUCUGUGAAGAUGCGGACUACCUGCACCUGGACAGAAAGACCCUAUGAAGCUUUACUGUAACUUGAAAUUGAAAUUGGACUUUAUUUGCGCAGUAUAGGUGGGAGGCGUUGAAAAUAUUCUUGCGGGAAUAUUGGAGCCAUCAGUGAGAUACCACUCUUGUAAUGUUAGAUUUCUAACUUUAUAUCAUUAUCUGGUUAAAGAACAGUUUCAGGCGGGCAGUUUGACUGGGGCGGUCGCCUCCCAAAUGGUAACGGAGGCGCACAAAGGUUUCCUCUGAACGGGUAGAAAUCGUAUCUAGAGUGUAAAGGCAUAAGGAAGCUUGACUGUGAGACCUACAAGUCGAGCAGGGACGAAAGUCGGUCUUAGUGAUCUGACGGUGCUGAGUGGAAAGGCCGUCACUCAACGGAUAAAAGUUACUCUAGGAUAACAGGCUGAUCUCCCCCAAGAGUUCACAUCGACGGGGAGGUUUGGCACCUCGAUGUCGGCUCAUCGCAUCCUGGGGCGGUAGUACGUCCCAAGGGUUGGGCUGUUCGCCCAUGAAAGCGGUACGCGAGCUGGGUUCAGAACGUCGUGAGACAGUUCGGUCCAUAUCCGGUGUAGGCGUUAGAAUAUUGAGAGGAGCCUUCUUUAGUACGAGAGGACCGAGAAGGACAUACCUCUGGUGUACCAGUUAUCGUGCCAACGGUAAACGCUGGGUAGCUAUGUAUGGAGUGGAUAACUGCUGAAAGCAUCUAAGUGGGAAGCCCACCUCAAGAUAAGUAUUCUCAUC
RNAcentral lists this ribosomal RNA (1244 nucleotides) under metagenome. RNAcentral's name for it is "bacterial LSU rRNA". It matches the Rfam family "Bacterial large subunit ribosomal RNA", at positions 1564 to 2818 of the family's 2925-position model. The record is from RNAcentral.